RNAcentral lists this ribosomal RNA (497 nucleotides) under uncultured bacterium. RNAcentral describes it as "partial 16S ribosomal RNA". It matches the Rfam family "Bacterial small subunit ribosomal RNA", at positions 28 to 507 of the family's 1533-position model. The record is from RNAcentral.
GAUGAACGCUGGCGGCGUGCCUAAUACAUGCAAGUCGAGCGAACAGACGAGGAGCUUGCUCCUCUGACGUUAGCGGCGGACGGGUGAGUAACACGUGGAUAACCUACCUAUAAGACUGGGAUAACUUCGGGAAACCGGAGCUAAUACCGGAUAAUAUAUUGAACCGCAUGGUUCAAUAGUGAAAGACGGUUUUGCUGUCACUUAUAGAUGGAUCCGCGCCGCAUUAGCUAGUUGGUAAGGUAACGGCUUACCAAGGCAACGAUGCGUAGCCGACCUGAGAGGGUGAUCGGCCACACUGGAACUGAGACACGGUCCAGACUCCUACGGGAGGCAGCAGUAGGGAAUCUUCCACAAUGGGCGAAAGCCUGACGGAGCAACGCCGCGUGGGUGAUGAAGGUCUUCGGAUCGUAAAACUCUGUUAUUAGGGAAGAACAAAUGUGUAAGUAACUAUGCACGUCUUGACGGUACCUAAUCAGAAAGCCACGGCUAACUACGUG